RNAcentral lists this ribosomal RNA (301 nucleotides) under uncultured bacterium. RNAcentral describes it as "partial 16S ribosomal RNA". It matches the Rfam family "Bacterial small subunit ribosomal RNA", at positions 509 to 809 of the family's 1533-position model. The record is from RNAcentral.
CAGCAGCCGCGGGAAUACAGAGGAUGCAAGCGUUAUCCGGAAUGAUUGGGCGUAAAGGGCUCGCAGGCGGUUUCUUAAGUCUGAUGUGAAAGCCCCCGGCUCAACCGGGGAGGGUCAUUGGAAACUGGGAAACUUGAGUGCAGAAGAGGAGAGUGGAAUUCCACGUGUAGCGGUGAAAUGCGUAGAGAUGUGGAGGAACACCGAUGGCGAAGGCAGCCCCCUGGGCCAAUACUGACGCUCAUGCACGAAAGCGUGGGGAGCAAACAGGAUUAGAUACCCCAGUAGUCCCUGUCUCUUAUAA